Long non-coding RNA from Pan troglodytes (chimpanzee), 2629 nucleotides. RefSeq lists it as uncharacterized. Lineage: Eukaryota; Metazoa; Chordata; Mammalia; Primates; Hominidae. The record is from RefSeq and is a predicted model, not a curated record. The transcript has 3 exons.
GAUCACUUGCCCUGGGGAAGCAGCUACCAUGUUGUGAGGCUGCUCAAGUAGCCUUGUGGAGAGGUCCACAUGGAGAGAAAACAAGGCCUUUGCCGCAGCCGGCACCAACUUGCCAACCAUCUGAGUCAGCCACCUUGGAAGUGGAUCCUCCAGCCUCAGUCCAGCCUUCAGAUGACCACUGUCCCAGCUCAUGUCUAGACUGCAACCUCAUGAGAGACCUGGAGCCAGAACACCCAGCUAAGCUGUUCCUGAAUUCCCGACUCACAGAGACUGUGAAAGAUAAUAUAUGUUUGUGUCUGUUUUAAGUCACUAAGUUUUGGCUGUUGCCUAACAGUAGAUAGCUGAUAUAAAGCUUACUUAGUACCAGAAGUGGGGUGCUGAUGGAACAUAAACCUACCAAUGUGGGAGCAUCUUUGGAACUGAGCAGAGGGCAGAAGCUGAAAGGACUUUGAAGAAAGUGUCAGAGAAAGCCUAAAGGGCACUGGAGAAGCCAGUAGUGGGAGGAGAAUGUUAGUGAGGGUUUAUAGGAAAGUGAGAACAAUGCAUUGGAGACUGGAAGAAAGGUGAUUCUUGUUAUGGAGAGGCAGAAAUUAAGCAACACUGCAACAAGAUGGAAAGCUCAUAAAUUGAAUGAUCUAGCUAAGGAGACUUUUAGGCAAGCCCAGAUAUUGGGCUCUUCCACUAAGAGUAUCUUGCUACAAAUAUAAAAGAACCAGAAAAUGCAGCCCUGCCCUUGGCCUCUGGGCACCAUCUCACUCUGUAGCAUGAACUGUGCCCACUGGCCUCCUUGCAAGUGACUGAUGUAGAAGGUGGAGAGUUGUCAUGCUUGCUGGUUCCCAGGAUGGUUCUCAGAAAGCUUGGAACUGAGGUGGAAUCAUGUUCAUGUUCCUCCCAGAGUAUAGAGCAGUUAGACUCUCGGUACAUUUCUGGAGAGAGAUGGGGGUGAAGAGUGCUCAAGGGAAGAAUUGAAUCAAUGCUCCCAGCACUCCACCCUGCCCAUGGGAAGUCAGGUUGCAGAGAGGCUAACCUGAAAACUCAGUCACAAUGCUCCCUGGAUCUGAUCAUAUUUAGGGUAUACUUUGGGGUGCCUGGGCCCCUCAGCAGGUGGGUCUGGACAGAGGCUGCACACUGCAGGUUCCUCCCAUGUUUUUCUUCCUAAGGAUGGAACCACUCACAUGCAUGAUACUCACACACAUGACACUCACACGCAGGCCGUCUCUCCUUGGGAUACCUGAUGGUCUGAGCUUUAAAGUAAUUUACCUUUAUUUACCUGUAAUGAAUAUUCAUCCUGCUUUCUUCUUGUCCAGUGCUUCAAACAUCUUCUUUUCUUUGGGGAGCUCCUGCCUCCUCAGUCCCUGACUGUCUAGAGGAGCCAGAAACUCUAUUUCUCAGACAGGAGGGUGCAGGCAUGUGACCAAACUCACCAUAUAGAUGUACCUGCACCAGACUCAGAUUCAGAGCCAGGGGCUCCAGGAUGAAGCAAGUUCCCAUGGGCUCCACCCUGGCGGGGAGGCGACAUUGGAAGCCCCUUUGCAGUUGCCCUACUCAGGGCAGGCUGCCGUGUUGUUUCCUGGAGCUGCUCUGCAGUAGGUGGCACAUUUGGGCCAUAUUCUAGAGCCCAGUUCCCAGGUCGUUCAAAAGAUGCUGGGGCCCCCAAGUAGCCAGUGAUAAAUCCCAUUUCUGCUUAAACUCAAUACAAGUGGUUUCUGUUGUUUGCAACCAAGCCUGCCUGAGGCCUUCUACUGGCGCUGCACCUUUGCAAGGUGGACAUUUGGUGUGAUAUAUAACAGCAACUUUGGGAUGAAUUCCACUCUACCAGACACAGCUGGGAGCAGAACAAUCCCAGAUACCUCUUCGGGUAAAUGGACCCCUAACUAGGGCAAUGCAUUUUUUAAUGUGCUUUUUAAAUCACUUGGAAUGCCCUGACCUCCCCACCUCCUCCUCUGUCCCACUCGGGUCCACCCUCCACAUCACGGCCAGUGUGAUCUUUCUCCACAAUGAUCUGGUGGUGCUACUCCCCAUGUGACACCUGCGCUGGGUGUCUCUGUCCCCACCCCAUCUUCCUCCUCCCUGCUGUGCCCACCCAGCCAUGCCAUGGGGACCAUCACUCUUGCUCUCUGGCUUCAAGUGGGGUUUGGCCAAUGGGAGCACGGGCAGGCCCUCAGAGGGCAGGAAGAAUGGACUUGGACAUCUGUUACCUCCGCUCCUUCCCUGCCAGGUUACCACAGACGGAGUCUUGCUCUGUCUCCCAGCUGGACUGAAAUGGCGUGAUCUCGGCUCACUGCAACCUCUGCCUCUCGGGUUCAAGCGAUUCUCCUGCCUCAGCCUCCUGAGCAGCUGGGAUUACAGCCAGGAAUGCAUAAGAGACAGCUGGAGCUCUAGCAGCCAUGUUGAGCCAUGAGGCAAACUAGAGGAUGGAAGCAAAGGCUAAGCCUGGUGAAGCAGAAAUCAUGGAGGAACACGAUGCCCCAGUGACCAUGGAGCCAUGACACCAGCCCUGGACUAACUACUUGUAGAACCGUUUUAAAUGAGAGAAAAAUCAGCACAAUUGUGUACAUCUGCUGCUCUUUUAGGCACUGCAAUUUGUUUUGCUUGUUUUUAAACCUCUCAUAAAUGGAAUCACGCUGUG